RNAcentral lists this ribosomal RNA (456 nucleotides) under uncultured bacterium. RNAcentral describes it as "bacterial SSU rRNA". It matches the Rfam family "Bacterial small subunit ribosomal RNA", at positions 30 to 507 of the family's 1533-position model. The record is from RNAcentral.
AUUGAACGCUGGCGGCAUGCCUUACACAUGCAAGUCGAACGGCAACAGGCCGCAAGGUGCUGACGAGUGGCGAACGGGUGAGCAAUACAUCGGAACGUGCCCGAUCGUGGGGGAUAACGGAGCGAAAGCUUUGCUAAUACCGCAUACGAUCUACGGAUGAAAGCAGGGGACCGCAAGGCCUUGCGCGGACGGAGCGGCCGAUGGCAGAUUAGGUAGUUGGUGGGAUAAAAGCUUACCAAGCCGACGAUCUGUAGCUGGUCUGAGAGGACGACCAGCCACACUGGAACUGAGACACGGUCCAGACUCCUACGGGAGGCAGCAGUGGGGAAUUUUGGACAAUGGACGCAAGUCUGAUCCAGCCAUUCCGCGUGCAGGAUGAAGGCCCUCGGGUUGUAAACUGCUUUUGUACGGAAGAUAAUGACGGUACUAUAUGAAUAAGCACCGGCUAACUCCGUG